UCCACGGGCAGACAGCUCCCCCAUCAAAUGUACCUUCCAACUGGAAACCUCAGCCUUGGCUCCACGGGAAGUCACACCUUCCUGAUCCCAGGUUCUGUGUGUGUCACUAAUGCCUGACCUCGAGGCAGCCAGAACCUGGAAGGGAUCAUCAAGAUGUGGACAAAAAACCUCCAGGAGAAGCCUCAUAGUAGAACUAACUAAUGCGAGAGGAGGUUUGGCUAAAGAAGAAGAAAUAGGAGAUGUGACAAUGGAAGCACAAUGUUGGAGUGAUGCGAUGACAGGGACAAGAGCCAAGGAAUGUGGUCAGCCUCCAGAAGCUAGAAAAUGCAAGGAAACAGAUUCUCCUCUAGAGCCCCCAGAAGGAACCAGCCCCGCCACCAUGUUGACUCUAACUCCACUGAAACUCAGUUUCCAAGUUUUGGCCUCCAGAAAAGGAAGGAAAAAAACUUGUGAUAUUUACAGCAACUAGGUUUGUAGUAAUUUAUUGCAGUAGCCAUAGGAAACUA
RNAcentral lists this long non-coding RNA (506 nucleotides) under Homo sapiens (human). Its description in RNAcentral is "HSALNT0358578". Lineage: Eukaryota; Metazoa; Chordata; Mammalia; Primates; Hominidae. The record is from RNAcentral.